This 301-nucleotide ribosomal RNA is filed under the name uncultured bacterium. RNAcentral describes it as "partial 16S ribosomal RNA". It matches the Rfam family "Bacterial small subunit ribosomal RNA", at positions 509 to 807 of the family's 1533-position model. The record is from RNAcentral.
CAGUCGCCGCGGGAAUACAGAGGGUGCGAGCGUUAAUCGGAUUUACUGGGCGUAAAGCGUGCGUAGGCGGCUUCUUAAGUCGGAUGUGAAAUCCCUGAGCUUAACUUAGGAAUUGCAUUCGAUACUGGGAAGCUAGAGUAUGGGAGAGGAUGGUAGAAUUCCAGGUGUAGCGGUGAAAUGCGUAGAGAUCGGAAGGAACAUCUGUGGCGAAGGCGACUAUCUGGGCCAACACUGACACUGAGGCACGAAAGCGUGGGGAGCAAACAGGAUUAGAUACCCCUGUAGUCCCUGUCUCUUAUAC